GAUCAUGGCUCAGGAUGAACGCUAGCUACAGGCUUAACACAUGCAAGUCGAGGGGGAAACGACAUCGAAAGCUUGCUUUUGAUUGGGCGUCGACCGGCGCACGGGUGAGUAACGCGUAUCCAACCUGCCCACCACCUUGGGGGAUAACCUUGCGAAAGUAAGACUAAUACCCAAUGAUAUCUCUAGAAGACAUCUGUAAAGAGAUUAAAGAUUAUCGGUGAUGGAUGGGGAUGCGU
This 236-nucleotide ribosomal RNA is filed under the name uncultured bacterium. Its description in RNAcentral is "partial 16S ribosomal RNA". It matches the Rfam family "Bacterial small subunit ribosomal RNA", at positions 15 to 236 of the family's 1533-position model. The record is from RNAcentral.